RNAcentral lists this unclassified non-coding RNA (336 nucleotides) under Hevea brasiliensis (rubber tree). Lineage: Eukaryota; Viridiplantae; Streptophyta; Magnoliopsida; Malpighiales; Euphorbiaceae. The record is from RNAcentral.
GGAUAAUCUAAAUUUAUUUCUUUGUCAACUAUUGACGGAGACCUAUACAUUAAUUGGUGCCACUUGCCACCUUUUAAAGGACUAGAAAAACUUGACCAAAUUACACUGCCACUUCCUUUCUUUUUCCUUCACAGGUUAAGUUCUCAACCUUAUAUAGUGCGGAAGGGUUGGUAAGGCAUCCUGUGUUGCAAGAUUUGUUUUAAGUAUAAUUAUUUGAGGAUUUGAGAAGUGGAGAGGUGAACCCUUCUAGUUUGUCUAAACUACCAUCCCCUCUUUUCUUUUCCUUUCUUUUCACAUCUCUUAUCUUUAGUUUAACUGUACACUUCUUCUAUGGCA